Molecule: ribosomal RNA, 431 nt
Filed under: uncultured bacterium
Lineage: Bacteria
Description: partial 16S ribosomal RNA
Rfam family: Bacterial small subunit ribosomal RNA
Source: RNAcentral
AACGAACGCUGGCGGCAUGCCUAACACAUGCAAGUCGAACGAGACCUUCGGGUCUAGUGGCGCACGGGUGCGUAACGCGUGGGAACCUGCCCUUAGGUUCGGAAUAACUCCCCGAAAGGGGUGCUAAUACCGGAUAAUGUCUUCGGACCAAAGAUUUAUCGCCUUUGGAUGGGCCCGCGUUGGAUUAGCUAGUUGGUAGGGUAAAAGCCUACCAAGGCGACGAUCCAUAGCUGGUCUGAGAGGAUGAUCAGCCACACUGGGACUGAGACACGGCCCAGACCCCUCCGGGGGGCAGCAGGGGGGAAUUUUGGACAAGGGGGGAAGGCCUAACCCAGCAAUGCCGGGUGAGUUAGAAGGGCCUUGGGGUUGAAAAGCUCUUUUCCCCGGAGUGAUAAUGACAGAACCGGGAGAAUAACCCCCGGCAACCCCCG